CUGAUCUGAAGGAGGAGAGAGAGAUGAUGGGAGAUGAAGGGUAUGGGAGUGUAUGCUACGGCUACCUGCUGUCAAAGUUCUCGAGCCUCCCAAAUGUCCACAUAGAUAGUAUCAACCCUCAAUGCAAAUUAUAAGAAUGUUAUCUUAAAAUGUAAUAAAAAGUGACCAAGCUGAUCUAAACCCC
This 184-nucleotide long non-coding RNA is filed under the name Gorilla gorilla gorilla (western lowland gorilla). RNAcentral's name for it is "lncRNA (ENSGGOG00000044287.1)". The record is from RNAcentral. Lineage: Eukaryota; Metazoa; Chordata; Mammalia; Primates; Hominidae.